RNAcentral lists this ribosomal RNA (427 nucleotides) under uncultured bacterium. Its description in RNAcentral is "bacterial SSU rRNA". It matches the Rfam family "Bacterial small subunit ribosomal RNA", at positions 355 to 774 of the family's 1533-position model. The record is from RNAcentral.
UGGGGAAUAUUGGACAAUGGGCGAAAGCCUGAUCCAGCAAUGCCGCGUGUGUGAAGAAGGCCUGCGGGUUGUAAAGCACUUUCAGUAGUGAGGAAAAGCAGUUGGCUAAUAUCUGACUGUCUUGACAUUAGCUACAGAAGAAGCACCGGCUAACUCCGUGCCAGCAGCCGCGGUAAUACGGAGGGUGCGAGCGUUAAUCGGAAUUACUGGGCGUAAAGCGUGCGUAGGCGGCUUGGUAAGUCGGUUGUGAAAGCCCCGGGCUUAACCUGGGAAUUGCAUCCGAUACUGUCAAGCUAGAGUGUAGCAGAGGAUAGUGGAAUUUCCGGUGUAGCGGUGAAAUGCGUAGAUAUCGGAAGGAACACCAGUGGCGAAGGCGACUGUCUGGGCUAACACUGACGCUGAGGUACGAAAGCGUGGGUAGCAAACA